Molecule: transfer RNA, 73 nt
Organism: Tuber melanosporum (Perigord truffle)
Lineage: Eukaryota; Fungi; Ascomycota; Pezizomycetes; Pezizales; Tuberaceae
Rfam family: tRNA
About the family: Transfer RNA (tRNA) molecules are approximately 80 nucleotides in length. Their secondary structure includes four short double-helical elements and three loops (D, anti-codon, and T loops).
Source: Rfam
GCCCGGAUGGCCAAGUUGGUAAGGCGUCGCACUCGUAAUGCGAAGAUCAGGCGUUCGACUCGCCUUUCGGGCA